RNAcentral lists this long non-coding RNA (490 nucleotides) under Helianthus annuus (common sunflower). RNAcentral describes it as "hypothetical non coding rna". The record is from RNAcentral. Lineage: Eukaryota; Viridiplantae; Streptophyta; Magnoliopsida; Asterales; Asteraceae.
AUGCCCGGUUGUGAACUAGAGGUAUAUGUGAAGCAUAUGAGAUUCCUAAAAAGAAUCAUUGUUGGAAUAGUAUAAGGCUAGCUUAAUACGUGUUAUAGUGUCAGUUGUGGAGUUAUAGAAAUACUAGUAUAAAUGGAAUGGAUUACGUAUAUGUGUGUGUACGUAGGUAAGUAAUUAUAUGGUUGUAUGUGUGCGCAAGAAUAUGAUUACAAAAUGCAUAGGAUGUCGUUAGUAUGGUCCACUACAUCAAUAUGGACAUAUGUUCUUGAGUUGGAAAUUUGUAUGCUUGACUGUUGACUUUCUGAAAAGUCAACGAAUAUGCGAAUGGUAUGGUUCGACUUAUGAAUGCUACUGUAAGGUUUAGGAAUAAUUAUGUGUCACAAGUUAGGCUAAUGACGUGUUAGACGUGUGUGUGUUUAAUACGAUGAAACGAUAGAUUACAUGAGUUUGAAAUGACAUGAACUUGGUUACAUGUAUUAUGCUUGUUAGA